AGCGUAGGUGGCUUGAUAAGUCAGAUGUGAAAUCCCCGGGCUUAACCUGGGAACUGCAUCUGAUACUGUUGGGCUAGAGUAGGUGAGAGGGAGGUAGAAUUUCAGGUGUAGCGGUGAAAUGCGUAGAGAUCUGAAGGAAUACCAAUGGCGAAGGCAGCCUCCUGGCAUCAUACUGACACUGAGGUUCGAAAGCGUGGGUAGCAAACA
Molecule: ribosomal RNA, 207 nt
Filed under: uncultured Psychrobacter sp.
Lineage: Bacteria; Pseudomonadati; Pseudomonadota; Gammaproteobacteria; Moraxellales; Moraxellaceae
Description: partial 16S ribosomal RNA
Rfam family: Bacterial small subunit ribosomal RNA
Source: RNAcentral